UUUACCAUUUGCUUCAAAACCAACUCAACCUCCCCAAUCAACUUGUCAUUGCAAAGCCCAUGAAUCAACUUCUUGUAAGAUGCAAAACUAGGACUAUUAGCCUCGCAAAUCAUCAUAGCCAUGAAUUCUUUUGCCUCCAAAAACUUCCCGGCAUCAAGCAAACCAUAUAGAACUUCUUGAUAAGACCCUGCAUUUGGUUCGCAUCCCGUGAGCUUCAUUUUCUGCAGCAGCUCCAUCCCAUCUUCAAUCCUUCCUUGUUUCCUUAACCCUGAAAUCAAAAUAUUGAAAGUGAUUGUAUCCGCUUCAAUACCCUCAUUUUCCAUUCUCUCAAGCAAACCAAAUGCCUUAUUCACCUCCCCUUUUGCACAGAAGUAGUGCAUCAGCGUUGAGAAAGUUCUCACAUUAGGCCUGCAUCUUUGUUUGGGAAAUUCGUCGAGCACAUUGAAUGCAAACUGUAAAUCCCCAUUUUCACAUAACCCUUUAAUGAGAAUAUUAAGACAACAAGCAUCAAUUUCUACACCCAAAAUGGGGGCUUUCACAUAUAUCUCAUGAACUACAUAAAAAAGNNNNNNNNNNNNNNNNNNNNNNNNNNNNNNNNNNNNNNNNNNNNNNNNNNNNNNNNNNNNNNNNNNNNNNNNNNNNNNNNNNNNNNNNNNNNNNNNNNNNNNNNNNNNNNNNNNNNNNNNNNNNNNNNNNNNNNNNNNNNNNNNNNNNNNNNNNNNNNNNNNNNNNNNNNNNNNNNNNNNNNNNNNNNNNNNNNNNUUCAAUGGCAUCAAAGUUUUUGGCACAGGCAAGCUGGUUUAUAACAACAGUGAAAAUAGCUUCAUUGGGUUUAUAGUCUUUUCUCUUUGAGUAUUGAUUCCAGAUAGAGAUAACUGAAUCUGGGUCUUUAAUGUCUUCGAAAAUCUUUAAAACUUCAUUUGGAGACAACCAGUCUUUAUGGUUCAGUUUGUAAUGAGUAUGAGGCGGAUGUUGGGUUGACUGCGAAGAAGAUGGUACAGUAGAGCAAGAGAAAAACGAAGGGAAUAUAGAAAUUGGGUGAUGGACAGUGCGUCUUGAAUGAGCUUGAAGAGAGUGAAAGAUUGAUUUGUGAACUAGAAAUGAACGGAAAAGCAUUCUGUUCGUCUUCGAUUUGCAGGCUGGUGGUUUCGUGCGAGAACUUAUGAGUUAGGAUUCCUACCUCGUGCAAACCGCAAAGCAAGCACCGAACGAGUAACCAUUUUUCUCUUAAGCAAAUAAUAUUUUGCGCUAAGCAAGCUUCAAGGAUAUUGAGAAUUAAGCCAUUUUGACAACUUCCAACUGGAAGAUAGUUUCCUUUUUCUUUUUUAUUUGCGCUAUCAUCUGGAUCAGAUUAUGUAUCGGGUCGAGCCGUCAAUUGAUAUCAGAUCUCCUCGGUUAGGUGGAAUUUGCGAGUCUUCCUCAAGUCGGACUUUAUCAUAUCGGGUUGUCAUCCUAUUACCUUCUUGUUGAAUUUAACGCAAAAAUUAAAAAAAUUAUUGAAUCACUUCGAUUUUCAAAAAUAAGUAUAAAAUUGAAAUAUAAUAAUUAAUGUUAUCGUGUACUUAAACUUGUAAAUUUCAGUAAUUUAUGUACUUUCUAUACUAACAAUUUUUGAUUUUUAUACGUAAAAUACCCGUUUAAUUAUAGCUAGCAUAAUUUUUUGUUACUAGGCUCCGUCUAUUUCAAAAAAAAAACUUACUAGAAACUAUUUUUCAAAUAAUUUAUUUUCUGUUGUUCGGUUACAGUAUUGAAAAUUCAUUAAAAAUAUUAAAAUUUUAAUUCAUAAUAAUAAUAAUAAUAAUAAAUUUCAUAUUUUAAAAUUUUUAUUGUUAAAUAUGAGAAUAGUGAAAAAAAUGAUAAAUUAUGAAAGCAUGCUACUAACCGAUGGUCGUAUCCAAUGGUGGUGGUAGCUAUCAAUUAUUAAUAAAUUAAAAAAAUUAGAAAAUUUAUAAUGUUAUAAUAAGUUUGCCAAAUCUAGAAAAUAUUUUACGCCCUUGAAAAUAGAAAGUCAUUUUCCUUAAACAUGAAUUUUUUUUUUUAUUAGGAAAAUAUUUUUUAUUAACUUAUUUUCGUAAAUGCCUCUAGACAACAAUACAUUAUGAAAAAUAUGUUCCAGUAAUUUAUUUUACGCAAAUACCGGAGCCUAAAAAAAAAAUUAUUUUCAUAAUUGCAAGAUAAUCAAGCCAAAUAAGAAAAAGUAUUUUUAUUAGAUGAAAUUGUAACUCACACAUAACCAAUGGAUGAUUAUGAGCAGGCCAAGAAGCAAUUCCAACCUGCCUUCCUCUCAAAAGAGGUGCUAGAGAGAGAGAGAGAUCAACAUUUUGUAAUUUCUUGAAAUUAUUUAAAUUUAUUAUCUAGCCAUUAUAUAAAUAACCUAGAUGUGAACUUGAACAUCAGCCAAUUGACUAAAAUUCAUUGGUGUCAUAUACUUAGCAUCUCCAGUGUAGAGGCUGUCAGCUAACAAUUGAGAAGCUGCUUGAGAUGGAUGAUACAAAUCCCAAAACAAGUACUCACUUCUUCAUUUGUGGGCAGUCAUAAAUAACAACCUCUCCAAGGUUUUGAAGUAGUAGAAGCAACCCAGGUUUGAACAGACUCCUUAUAUUUGAACAACCUUGGAUUUUGAGAACUGUGAGACUGGAAAAGGCACUAGGAAGAACUGAUUGUGGUGUAGCAUGCAAAGAAGAUGAUGUCAUUGCCAGGCUUUCUUUUCCUGAAUUAAAACGAAUUUCAUUCUUCUGUGUUGAAAAAUAGCUCAAGGUUUUGAAAUUGUGGCACCUCUCAAUACUCAGGAACUCAACAUCAAUUGGGACCAAAAGUGAAUCUUCUAUGCCGUCUUCACUGAUGCCAUAAUCAAUUAUUCUUACAACUUUUUUAACUUUUUUGAAGUCUCCAGCUUUAUACAAGUCCUUCUCUCCCAGUUGUAGAAAGUACUUUCUCAGCACUCGGCCAUGCAGAGACCCAACAAGUAUAUUAAAACUAGAUAAACUGUAAGAUUGACAUUCAAUUUUUUCUAUCAUUUUCAAGCCUACCAAUUCCUCACCUUUUACUUUCAAAUUUUUUGAUCUGCACCACAGUCGGAAAUAUUCAAGGCAAGAGAGCUUUGGUAAUAUUCCGAUUGGGAACUCUAGAUCUCGCACAUAGAGAUUAAGAUACCUGAGAUUGAUCAAACUUUCCAUGCCUUCAGGUACAUGUUGGAUUCCAGUAUAUCUAAGAUCCAACUCCCUUAGUGCACCUAGCUUUGCUACAGAAGGCACGGACUGCAAUAAUGCUUAAGAUACAAUGCAACAAGAUUCUCCAAUGUGGAGAUGGAGUUUGGUAAACUCUUAAUUCCAGUAUAAGACAGAUCCAGAAGCCUCAAAACAUGCAUGCAUGAAAAGAAAGAAUCUGGAAUUCUAACCAGAUCUUUAUUCUGUGCCAGUAACAUGGUUUGAAGUUUUGGACAUUUUGGUGACAAUCUAGAAGGAAUUUCUGAUAUGUGAUUGUCAAUCAAGGAUACGCUCUCAAGUUCCUCCGUCCAUCUGUUCGCAUUUGGUAAUUCUCUUAACCGAACUCCAGCUUCUACAAGCAAUUGAUGAUCCAUGCUUUUCAUCUGUAUUACCAUCUCCCUAAUUAGGUCAUGCAUCUUCACAUAUUUCUUAUCACGAAUGCUUUCCAAAAGACAAGCAUUUUCAAGCUUGUUUAGCAUAGCAUAUCCAUUGACAAACUCUGCUUCGCUACUUUUCAUUUUAUCUACUAUUCCUAAACUAAUCAAACGCCUUAUCAGCUGUGUCCUUUUGAUCAAAAAGUCCUCCGGGUAUAAUGCACACAAUAUAUGAGACACUGCCUGAACUUGUCAUCUUUCAAAUGCGCAUAACUAAAUUUUAGCCGCUCAAUCACCUGAUCCAUUUCUUCCCUAAGCCCCUUUGUAGAUUCCCUCAACUCCUCUAGAGCAUUUUGCCAUUCAUAUAUGUCAUCUACGCCCUUCAUACUACCAGCUAUAGUGACAAUUGCAAGAGGCAAGCAGGCACAUUCAUCAGCAACUUGUUUUGCUGUUGCUUCUAAUUCCGGGGUAUUAAAAACUUGAUUUCCAACUUUUUCCACAAAUAAGUUCCAUGCCUCCUCUUCAGUAAGAAGCCCCAUUUUGAUAUCCUUGCAAUCCAUUCUCCGACAAACGUCACGCAAUCGAGUUGUUAAUACUAAUUUGCAUCCAUUAUCAGGUGUAGGCUCAGGAAUUCCUACAUCCUCAAGAUUGAAUGCUUCCCACAUAUCAUCAAGGAUUAACAACCAGUUUUUCGCUUUUCCCAGCCAUUUAAAUAACUUGACAGCCAUUUUUGUUUCAUCCUUACAUUGUGCAAAAUCUCGAUUCAAUGCAGCUGCAAUGUCUUUCUGUAAGUUCCCAAAUUUUAGUGGUUGUGACACUGUCCCAUGUCAACCAAUAGUACCAUAUCUGCAAAUUCGUUCCCAAUCUUAUAAAAACUCGAAGAAAUCACCACUUUCUUUAUAUUAAUAUGCUAUUUUAAGUCUUGGAUAACGCUUCCACCUUUGUCAGGAGCAUCAAUUAAAUAAGCCUUGCCGAUCUCAAAAACUUUAUAAUCCAACGAGUCAAGAACAUCAGGAAACUCAUCAAAAACUCCAUCACCAAACGUAGAAACUUCCAACCAGGUUUUCUUAAAUCGAUCAAAAGGGAACCGGGAGAGUGGGUUUGUAAUAAUAACCUUGCCAGAUUUUGAUUCUUUAGCUCUAACAAUCCAACUCUUGGUACGGUUGGUGAGGGGUUGGAUAGAGUAAAUUGUGUAGAGAUAUUUUAGGCUUGAUUUUAGUAAUCUUUGUGAAAUAGUCAAGCAUAAUUAGUGUCCUUGAUUAUAUGGUCAAUAGCUAAUAAUAAGCUUGUAUCAAUUCAAGCAUAAUUAGUGUCCUUGAUUAUAUGGUCAAUAGCUAAUAAUAAGCUUGUAUCAAUUCUCCUAUAUAUAUUCUUGUAUAUAUACCUUUAAAAAAAAAAAAAUUAGAAUACAAUUUGAUUAUUCUGCUUUUAAUUCAAACUAAUUGUGUAUUCAGUGAGCACAAGAUAGUCGUAGUUGAGAUCAUUGAUUUCAUAAGGUAACUCAAUGAAAUUCAUUUGAUUUUUGGAUCAACCAUAGAAUUCAAACUAUAUAGCUUUACUAACUUGCACUUAAAAUUUAUUAAAUUUACUAGCUUUUGUAUUCCUUCAAGUUUAGAAUUCAUUUGCAAAUUCUAUCAAUUUCGAAAUAAUUUGGUCCAAGCACAACCUAUUCCAUAGAAUUAAACAUAUGGAACUUCAAAUGAAUUUUUAUUUAUACCAAACAUGAAAAAUGGGAUUUAUAAAUGAAUUCCAUAGAAUUUUAUGGAAUUCAUUUACCCCAAACAAGCUCCUGGUGAGCUUUGAGCCUUUUAAGGAUAGAUAAUAGUGUAGCCUAGCUAGAAAAUAAUGCUUGCCUGAGCAUUUACAGAUCCUUGAACAGCUUAUCCUUGUCAGAUUGCAUUAAUUUUAUAGAAACUUGCAGAAAGGUUGAAGGGCAAUCUUAGAGCCAGGUUGAUCCCAUUCCAGUGAUUCCCACCAUUUUUCAUCUUGAACAUAGAUCUGUUCGAGAUUAGGUGGAGCAAAUGCUACACCAUCAACAAUCGGAAGCUCAAGCGGGAGCCUUCUCAUAUUUGGACAUGCAGUAACUGUCAUGUAAAGGAGAGAAGGACAAAGCACCAACCCCAGACAGAUGCUUUUUAAUUCUGGUAGCCUACACAAAGAGAGACUCCUCAAGUUGGGGAGAACAAACCUCAUGGCAAUACCUUUAUUUUCCAUUGGUAAAUGGUUGCUGCUGCUUGCUGCCUGCUCAUCUGUUGUUGUAAAAAACUGCUUCAUUUGUGGGCAGUCAUAAAUAAGAACCUCUUCAAGGUUUUGAAGUAGUAGAAGCAACCCAGGUUUGAACAGACUCCUUAUAUUUGAACAACCUGAGAUUUUGAGAACUGUGAGACUGGAAAAGGCACUAGGAAGAACUGAUUGUGGUGUAGCAAGCAAAGAAGUUGAUGUCAUUGCCAGGCUUUCUUUACCUGAAUUAAAAUGAAUUUCAUUCUUCUGUGUUGAAAAAUAGCUCAAGGUUUUGAAAUUGUGGCACCUCUCAAUACUCAGGUACUCAACAUCAAUUGGGACCAAAAGUGAAUCUUCUAUGCCUUUUUCACUGAUGCCAUAAUCAAUUAUUGUUACAACUUUUUUGAAGUCUGCAGCUGUAUACAAGUCCUCCUCUCCCAGAUGUAGAAAGUAAUUUCUCAGCACUCGGCCAUGCAGAGACCCAACAAAUAUAUUAAAACUAGAUAAACUGUAAAAUUGACAUUCAAUUUUUUCUAUCAUUUUCAAGCCUACCAAUUCCUCACCUUUUACUUUCAAAUUUUUUGAUCUGCACCACAGUCGAAAAUAUUCAAGGCAAGAGAGCUUUAGUAAUAUUCCGAUUGGGAACUCUAGAUCUCGCACAUAGAGAUUAAGAUAGCCGAGAUUGAUCAAACUUUCCACGCCUUCAGGUACAUGUUGGAUUCCAGUAUAUCUAAGAUCCAACUCCCUUAGUGCACCUAGCUUUGCUACAGAGGGCACGGACUGCAAUCGUUUGCAAUGCUUAAGAUACAAUGCAACAAGAUUCUCCAAUGUGAAGAUGGCGUUUGGUAAAUUCUCAAUUCCAGUACAAGACAGAUCCAGAAGCCUCAAAACAUGCAUGCAUGAAAAGAAAGAAUCUGGAAUUCUAACCAGAUCUUUAUUCUGUGCCAGUAACAUGGUUUGAAGUUUUGGACAUUUUGGUGACAAUCUAGAAGGAAUUUCUGAUAUGUGAUUGUCAAUCAAGGAUACGCUCUCAAGUUCCUCCAUCCAUCUGUUCUCAUUUGGUAAUUCUCUUAACCCAACUCCAGCUUCUACAAGGAUUUGACGAUCCAUGCUUUUCAUCUGUAUUACCAUCUCCCUAAUUAGGUCAUGCAUCUUCACAUAUUUCUUAUCAGGAAUGCUUUCCAAAAGACAAGCAUUUUCAAGCUUGUUUAGCAUAGUAUGUCCCUUGUCAAUCUCUGCUUCGCUACUUUUCAUUUUAUCUACUAUUCCUAAACUAAUCAAACUCCUUAUCAGCUGUGUCCUUUUGAUCAAAAAGUCCUCGGGGUAUAAUGCACAAUAUAUGAGACACUGCCUGAACUUGUCAUCUUUCAAACGCGCAUAACUAAAUUUUAGCCGCUCAAACACCUUACCCAUGUCACUAAGCCCCUUUGUAGAUUCCCUCAAUUCCUCUAGAGCAUUUUUCCAUUCAUAUAUGUCAUCUACGCCCUUCAUACUAACAGCUAUAGUGAUAAUUGCAAGAGGCAAGCAGGCACAUUCAUUAGCAACUUGUUUUGCUGUUGCUUCUAAUUCCGGGGUAUUAAAAACUUGAUUUCCAACUUUUUCCACAAAUAAGUUCCAUGCCUCCUCUUCAGUAAGAAGCCCCAUUUUGAUAUCCUUGCAAUCCAUUCUCCGACAAACGUCAAGCAAUUGAGUUGUUAAUACUAAUUUGCAUCCAUUAUCAGGUGUAGGCUCAGGAAUUCCUACAUCCUCAAGAUUGAAUGCUUCCCACAUAUCAUCAAGGAUUAACAACCAGUUUUUCUCUUUUCCCAGCCAUUUAAAUAACUUGACAGCCAUUUUUGUUUCAUCCCCAUAUUGUGCAAAAUCUCGAUUCAAUGCAGCUGCAAUGUCUUUCUGUAAGUUCCCAAAUUUUAGUGGUUGUGACACUGUCACCCAAAUCACUUUAUCAAAUUUGUCACGGCCUCUUUGGAGUCUGUUGUUGAUAUGCUUCAUAAUGGUUGUUUUUCCAACACCACCAAUGCCAUAAAUUCCAACCUUUCUAACAUCAUUAUCCAUCAAGCAGGUCCAAAUUUCUUCCAUCUUGCUUUUGGCUGUUUCACCUACUAAUGUUGUUACAGGUAAGAUCUCUCCAACAUCUGCAGGUUCAUCAAUCAUCAAACUGUCACCAAAAUCACCCUUUUGACGAAGAUCCUCCACUUCUUUUAUCUUCUUAAAAACACGUUUUGCCAAGCGUGCACGUGAAAGAUAUUUCCGCUUCGCAACUUCUUGCUCAAUUGCAAAAGUUUCACGUUUGAUAGUCUCUAUAUUUUGCAACCAAAGCUCAACCUCUUUUUUAAGUAAUUUCCCUGGAAUAAGCUCUGCACGUAAUCUUGAAUCUACAUCUUCCUUCCGACUGUUUAGUUCAUUCACUUCCCUUCUCAAAUCACUCAUAUGUUGGUCCAUGUGUCUAUGAUAUUCCCAGCAAGUUCCUACUGGAGUCCAUAACUUGUUUACAAGUUCUAUAACUGACCCAGCAAGCUCCAUCUACAGAUCGAUGCAUAAGAGACAAUAUUUUACAAGUCGUUGAUCAAAAAUCAAACAAAAGAAUUUAACCAUAAAAUUUGUUUAUUUACUAUUAGCAAUCCAUUAAGAAUCCAAAAAUUUCAUGAAGAAGGGUCAAAGGAAUCAUCUAGGGGGAAAAAGCUACUUUUACAUUAAGAGACAAAGAUUUCAAGAAUCAAAGACACGACUUUCUUCUUCAACUACUUCUUCUAAGUUAUAUUUUGAUGCAUAAGGGCAAAUAUUUUGUAAGUCCUUGCUGAAAAAUCAAACAUAAGAAUUUAAUCAUAAAAUUUGUUUAGUUACUAUUAGCAAUCAAUCAAGAAUCAGAAGAUUUCAUGAAAAGCAGUCAAAAGAACCUUUUUUGGGUGGAGAAAAAGCUACUUUUACAUCAUGAAACAAAGAUUUCAAGAAUCAAACACUCAACUCACUUCUUCAACUACUAGUUGUAAGUUAAUAGCAUUGCAAUUAGCCAUUUAAAAUUCUUCAACUAGUAACCACAAGAAUCAAAGCAAAAUAAUGACAGGUAGAUCCAGAUCUGCAAGUUUUCAGAAUAAAUGUACCUGAUUGAUGGAUCUUAACUUUGAUUUAUUUUAAGUACCACAAAAACUCCCUUGCCAGUGUCUCCUCCCUUUUAAGAAUUUGAGAAUAGAAAAUUGAAUUUUCUUGUUUGCGGGAAAAAAACGGUUCACUGAAUCAGUAAGAGGAAGAUCAGUAGCAAAUUCCUUGUUGUGUAAAGGAAACAAUAUAAUACAAUAUUCUGACUGAAAAUAACCACCGACUAUUUUAAGAGUAGAAAUAUUUGUCGUGAGGCCUUUGAAAAGUAAAGCUAUAAAAUUCGUCUUAGCACUUUGUAGUUGUACCCCUCCUCUGUUAUGAAGCUUAGCAGGCGCGUGGGUUUGUAGACAUUGAGUCAGUAGUAGCCGCCUUGUACCACAUAAAAAUCUUCUAUAGAUUGCAUAUCUAGCUGAUAUUUUACACCAGACACCAUUUAAGCUGAUAUUGGGUCCACAAAUUUCAGGCCAGCUGUAAGCCUUUGAUUAUUAAAAAAAAAACAAAAAAAGAACUUGGCCACUAACUGUCUAACUCUAUGGCAUAGAUUAAAAAAAGAACUAAAAAAUUAUAGGAUUAAUCACAUUAAUGGUGUUUGAACUUCUGCAAUAUUCUUGUCGGUGCAACAGUAACUUUUUAAGCAAAUAAAUAUAUACAAUAUAUCAAACCUGGAAAAAAAAACAAGCACUUGCUGUGGGAUCCCUCUGACAUAUGGGACCCACUUAAGCUUGUAGAAAAAAACACAAAAAGGAAGAAAUCCAUGUUUUUUUAAAAAGUCAAAUAAGGCUGCGAGAAAAAAAAAAAGGACAAGCACGUUCAGUCAUAGACACGUAAUUAAUGUGUCUCUUUUCUUAUAAAUAGGAGAAGAUUUUUCCUCGUCAAUAUACAACAGAAAGAAAAAAAUGGAGAGAGAGAAUUAUCUAGUUUUAGGAAAGGUUUCCUAAAACUAGAGGAGAGAAAAAUAGUGAUGAAAUUAUUAUGGAGGGUUUUUUGGAAAACACUUGGAGUGCCACUAUUUUUGUAUUGCUCUCUUUGUAUACCUACUAUUUUUAAUAGUGGAGGAAUUAUUUAUUCGGAAUUUAUCUUGUGAACGUAGCUCUAAACAGUUAAAGGUAAACUACGUAAAUUUCUGCGUGUCUCAUUUCUAUUUUUUCGCUUUUCUUUUAAUUCUUUGUGUGAGCGCCCAACAAGCAGUAUCACAAGAGGCCCAACGGCACUUACUAAUUGAUUUUCCUUCUCGUUCAGAAAACAGACUGACUUGCAAGAAUCUUGCAGACCAAAUUUGCAUUUCAUUGAAUAAUAUGUUGUCUAUAGAAAAGGUAAGGGAUAUAGAAGUCGAAAUCUCUGCAGAAAUUUAUGUUGAAUAAAAACGAAAAGGGAUCAAAUUUUACUGUUUGUACAUUGAUCAGUUCCGUAUGAGUUGAGUAGCCAUAUGAUCGUAUAUCAUCAGAACUGCAAAGGCAGAACAGCAAACUGCCGUCCACUGAUCACGUGCAACUCAGAUAGUUCCUCGUUGAAGCACAAAUGGAUAUCAUCAGAACAAGCUCGAUUUUUAUAUGGCCAAGCAAGUAUCUGAUGUUGGAAAGCAUGACGGGGAAAAUCUUCAGCUAGAAUCAGAUGAUCACAUCAAAGACUGCUCUAAUCAGCCAAUAUAUUGUUGUUGUUUCAUUAGGUGAUCCUUUCAGGCAUAUUCCGGCAAAUAACAAACGUCAACUUCUGGUAAGCAUAAAUUCAACACAAAAGGUUCAGUGAUGCUAGCCAUUGACAAUCUCACUAAUACAGAUAUUAGAAGCAGCAGUCCUUGAAAAUAAACUUCUUAGAAUCUCUCUCCACAUCCCCAUUUUUGGAACAAAACCUUGUUUCACCAUUUGCUUCAAAACCAACUCAACCUCCCUAAUCAACUUGUCAUUGCAAAGCCCAUGAAUCAACUUCUUGUAAGAUGCAAAACUAGGACUAUUAGCCUCACAAAUCAUCAUAGCCAUGAAUUCUUUUGCCUCCAGAAACUUCCCGGCAUCAAGCAAACCAUAUAGAACUUCUUGAUAAGACCCUGCAUUUGGUUCGCAUCCCUUGAGCUUCAUUUUCUGCAGCAGCUCCAUCCCAUCUUCAAUCCUUCCUUGUUUCCUUAACCCUGAAAUCAAAAUAUUGAAAGUGAUUGUAUCCGCCUCAAUACCCUCAUUUUCCAUUCUCUCAAGCAAACCAAAUGCCUUAUUCACCUCCCCUUUUGCACAGAAGUAGUGCAUCAGCGUUGAGAAAGUUCUCACAUUAGGCCUGCAUCUUUGUUUGGGAAAUUCGUCGAGCACAUUGAAUGCAAACUGUAAAUCCCCAUUUUCACAUAACCCUUUAAUGAGAAUAUUAAGACAACAAGCAUCAAUUUCUACACCCAACAUGGGAGCUUUCACAUAUAUCUCAUGAACUACAUAAAAAAGCUUUGCAGAUACUAGCAUAUUCAACACAAGAUUAAAAGUUUUCACAUUUGGCCAACAAUUAUACCCUUUGGGCAUAUCUAGAAGGGUUUCUAUUGAUUUCUUGAUU
RNAcentral lists this long non-coding RNA (11419 nucleotides) under Jatropha curcas. Its description in RNAcentral is "long non-coding RNA (JCUR_LNC000515)". Lineage: Eukaryota; Viridiplantae; Streptophyta; Magnoliopsida; Malpighiales; Euphorbiaceae. The record is from RNAcentral.